GUUUAUGAUCUCUAUUCUAUUUGUCAAAAAAUUUAUAUUUUUAGACUGGAGGAAAACAUCGUGUCCAGUCUUUAUUUUUUGGGAAUCAUUAAUUUUCAUUUUUAAAGAACAAAGCAGUCCACAGUCAUUCAAAUUAACAAAUUUUCAUUCUCAACAAUUUGAUUUAUUGCUUUAGUGGAAACAAUGAUAUUAAUGCAAUCAAGAAUACUUCAAGCUAGUUCAAGAAAUGGUUUCAUAAUUCUGUAGAUUUUAAUUUUGUUUUUCUAAUUUUCUUUACAAUAUUAAAAUGUUAUAAAUAGCAAUAAAAAAAUUAUGUUUUUUUCUGUUAAAAAAGAAGUAUUUUCAAGUUAAUUAUGGCAUUCUGUUUUUAUUAUGAAAUGGUUAUCAUUAGAAAUAAAUGGCAAACUGUAAAUAUAAAAGAGGUAAAUCUAUUACAAUGCAGGAUGUGUAAACACACAUCUACUGUUUUUACAGUUGUCUUAUAUCAGUGCUAUUGACUGUGACCAAACUGAAAUAUUUUUAGGACAUUCUUCUUAAUACAUGGCAUACUUUUGAAAAAGCAUUACCCUUUAUAUGUUUGUUUCAGAUGCAUUAUUUAGAGCAAAAUUAGUUUAUGUAUCAAAAUAUAACCCGAAUAAAUAAAUCAUAAAGGAUUUGAAGUAAAUAGAACACUCAAAGCAUAUAUAUAUAUAUAUGACUGAAAAAAUGAAAAAUAUCAUCAUAUAACUUCUAAAUAACAUCUAUGAAAGAGAACUUCUACAAACUUUUGGUCUUUGGUGGCAUAUAUAUACAAAAAUUCAAAUAACACAAAACCACAAGCAGAUUUUAUUAGCUUAAAUCUCAAAUGAUUGCAUUAACUUCAGAUGGUUAUAUCAAUAAUACCAUCAAACUAAAGCAACCAUUUUUUUUUUAACAUAUCUGUUUUACCAGCAUCCUGCAUUAUGAUAGAUUCUCUUCUUUUACUCAAUAUUUAAUUUGCAGCUAUAAAUGUUUGUAAUAAUAAAUCUGUAUUAAAAUGUACCUUAAACAUGCUGAAACUUGUUUUAGCAUGGCUACACAAUGCAGGGUAAGAUUAAAAUUAUUACACAUAAAUAAUUUCAGGUGAAGAAUUGGUAUGUUAAAUGCACAUUUAUGUUAAUUUUUUCUAAGCCAAGUUAUGACAGAGUUAUAGUGCGUUAUUUAUUUGAUGAAUUUAAGAAAAACUAGCUGUAAAUUUCCUGAUGAUUUUUUCAGGCUUAUUAUAUUUAGGAAAUUAAGAUAAAUAUGUGCAACUGAAAAUGUUUAAAAGCCUGGCAGGACCAAUAUAAAUGAAAAUUAAAUGCAUUUUCAUAAGUGUAUCAGAAAAUAAAAAAAAAAAUUUGAUUUGAAUGGACAUUUGGCAAGUGGCAGUAAUGAAUCUUAACUUUUAGGUUAAAAAAUGAUUUUCAGAAAUUUGGUUAAAAAAAUAAGUGCAGUUUCAUAAAUCUCUAAAAGAUAAUUACCUACUUUGACCUACUGUGCAAGACCCUAAUGGGUAGUCAAUGUUGUUGAAAAAAAAAUUGCCAAGCAACUUUGAAUAAAGAAAAGGGUGGAAUAUUAAAUAUAUUAGAGUCUUCAGUCAAAAAGGAUUAAUAGGGGCCUAUGAACACUCUUGUCAUUACUCAGCUAGUACACAUAUGAUAUUAUUAUAAUCCGAUCAAUAGAUUUAAUGUUAUAAAUUGAUCUCCUUUAAACAAUAUUAUAGUGCCUACCAUCCAAACAAACUGAUCUAUUUUUUCAAGGUUACUUCUAGUAACAUGCUAUCUUUAGUAGUUGAAUAAAAAUAUGUUUAGAA
This 1813-nucleotide long non-coding RNA is filed under the name Mytilus galloprovincialis (Mediterranean mussel). The record is from RNAcentral. Lineage: Eukaryota; Metazoa; Mollusca; Bivalvia; Mytilida; Mytilidae.